CCAGCAGGGUAAUUCCAGCUCCAAUAGCGUAUAUUAAAGUUGUUGCAGUUAAAACGCUCGUAGUCUGAUGUAAUGGGGAUUGGAGUGGGGAGCAGCGAUGCUCUUUGCUUUGGUCCUCAUCAAGGGGGCAGCAAUGUCCCAUUUUACUUUGAGGAAAUUAGAGUGUUCAAAGCAGGCGAUUGCUUGAAUACUGCAGCAUGGAAUAAUGGAUUAGGACUCGCGUCUUAUUUUGUUGGUUUAGAGAUGUGAGUAAUGAUGAAUAGGGACAGUUGGGGGCAUUGGUAUUCAGUAGUCAGAGGUGAAAUUCUUGGAUUUACUGAAGACUAACUAGUGCGAAAGCAUUUGCCAAG
RNAcentral lists this ribosomal RNA (350 nucleotides) under uncultured eukaryote. RNAcentral's name for it is "SSU rRNA". It matches the Rfam family "Eukaryotic small subunit ribosomal RNA", at positions 570 to 962 of the family's 1831-position model. The record is from RNAcentral.